AUUGAACGCUGGCGGAAUGCUUUACACAUGCAAGUCGAACGGUAGAGGGGGCAACCCCUUGAGAGUGGCGAACGGGUGAGUAAUAUAUCGGAACGUGCCCAGUCGUGGGGAUAACGUAGCGAAAGCUACGCUAAUACCGCAUACGAUCUAUGGAUGAAAGCGGGGGAUCGCAAGACCUCGCGCGAUUGGAGCGGCCGAUAUCAGAUUAGGUAGUUGGUGAGGUAAAGGCUCACCAAGCCGACGAUCUGUAGCUGGUCUGAGAGGACGACCAGCCACACUGGGACUGAGACACGGCCCAGACUCCUACGGGAGGCAGCAGUGGGGAAUUUUGGACAAUGGACGCAAGUCUGAUCCAGCCAUGCCGCGUGCAGGAAGACGGUCCUAUGGAUUGUAAACUGCUUUUAUUACAGGAAGAAACCCUCCCACGUGUGGGAGCUU
This 438-nucleotide ribosomal RNA is filed under the name uncultured bacterium. RNAcentral's name for it is "bacterial SSU rRNA". It matches the Rfam family "Bacterial small subunit ribosomal RNA", at positions 30 to 470 of the family's 1533-position model. The record is from RNAcentral.